UCUCCCGCUUCUCCUCCCUGAGCGGGAUGCCUUAAUCCCCUUAAGGCAUUUUUUAGCCCCGAUCCCUCCCUUGAUCGGGGCUUUUUUGU
Non-coding RNA from Thiobacillus sp. SCN 63-1177, 89 nucleotides. Lineage: Bacteria; Pseudomonadati; Pseudomonadota; Betaproteobacteria; Nitrosomonadales; Thiobacillaceae. The record is from Rfam.